Molecule: long non-coding RNA, 282 nt
Filed under: Manihot esculenta (cassava)
Lineage: Eukaryota; Viridiplantae; Streptophyta; Magnoliopsida; Malpighiales; Euphorbiaceae
Description: long non-coding RNA (MESC_LNC001628)
Source: RNAcentral
AAAAGAGAUGCUUUAUAUAGCCUAAAUUAAGACCCAUGAUCUUUGCCACUUCGCACUACUAUACAUGGACCCAUGAUCUUUGCCACUACCCACAACUAUGCAUGGACCCAUGAUCUAUGCCACUAUCCACUACUAGGUAACUACCCACUACUGUUUAACUACCCACUACCAAAUAACUACCCACUACUGGUUAACUACCAACUACUAAAUGACUACCCACUAUAAAUACAGAAUUUGAAUUGUCAAUAAGGACACAUUUGGCCUAAUUGACUUGGAAUGGCC